AGCACGAUGUGAGUAGACGAGGACGAUGUGAGCAGACGGGGGCGACGUCAGCAGACGAGGACGGACUGCUUAUCUUUAGCUUAUGAGUUAUGACAGAAAUCACACCUCACCCACUCUUAUGUCAGAAGAUGACUGAUUCUACCUACUCAAUGACCCCACCAGUCUCCCCAUACCAGUAUGGUAUGGACUUGGAGAUAACUGAAACAGAAACAUCUGCAUCAGUUAAAACAGGAAACAACUCAUUUCUACUGGUGGAAGCAGCAUAUUUCUGCUGUGGAGGCGAGGCAUAUCCUGGCAGAGAGCCACACCUGUAUGAACAUUUUUCUUUCCACAAAAAUGGUGUCAUAAAAUCUGGCGCUCUUGACCGGCUGAUGCCACCACAACCAAAUCAAGAAGGGUUUGAGCCAUCCCUUACACUGUUUGGCUUCACUUUCUUUUACCUGGCUUUGGAGGAGGAAGAAGAAAGAGACAGGCUGUUCAUGUUAGCUCGGCAAGCAAUCAGGGAUGUGAGAAAUGUCAACGAUCAAGACAGUGCCAAGAAGGUGUCAAAACGGCAAGAGCUGAUAAAGUUUUUACUCUAUGUGAAGGACUUCAUAAAAAGAUUCCUACCAGAAAAUGGAAGUAGUCGCUGGCAUAUUGUUCGUCAGUUGGUGAGAAAGCUUCAUCUUCUACUUCACAUUGGCAAACUUUCAGACCAGCCCUCAGAGUGCUCUCUCAUUCAACAAGCCAGUAUUCAUCACAUAUUCCAUCAGCAUUUGGACAUCUGCUGGUACAUGUUAGAAAUCCUUCACACCUUGACCACACAAGCUGGAACUGCAGAUGUGCUGGAUGACAUAAGGCUAUGCCAGAAGCUUGGGGAUUCAAAAGACAGUGGUAUUCUGUCAUCAUUUGAUCAGCUGGUUCAGUUUCUGCUCUUUGACCUUGUCUGUCUGGCUGUGCCUAUUUUUGAGAAGUUGCACAGUCAAGAGUGGCUCCACUCCUCUCCCUUUCCUUGUGGAUGUGUGCUAGAGAUGUGGACACUAGUGCUUCGACUGACCACAAUCAGGAAGGAGAAAUAUGGCACAGAAUCAUUCUGGGUACAGCUACACCAUAUACUCCAGACUCUGUGGGACACUUGUGCUGAACCUGGAGAUGGAGGAGAAAGUCAAGACAGUAAUAUCUUCAUGUUGAGCAUCUCACAACAGCCAUCAUGUCCUGCCAGCUUCUGCUUGUGGCUCACCACUCAUCUGGCUCAUCUUACCUGCUUUGACAACAAUGGCCUCAUGCGUGAUGCCAGCCACAACUUAAACAAUUUCUUUAUUGUCGACAUGUUGAUGGAGAAAGUUUUACGGACAUCGCCAAAGGAAGAAACUUUGCGAGCCUGCUUGCGCUGCUGUGCAUCUAUCUCUAGUCUGUGGAGGCCAACCAGAAGUCUCAUCACUACACUCUGGGAGUAUUUCUCUCACAGACUGAAUGAGCGAUUCCAGCAGCAGGUGGCCAGUGUUGAAGGGCUUGCCAUUUUCAAUAAAACGUCUUCAGCACUGCUGGAAAAAUGUGAGAGACUUUGUUGUGGUGACUUGGAUGGCCUGGCACAGGAGACUAGCUUUUCUCUCUUUUUGCGGCUGUUAACAAGGCUGCUGAAAAGUAGUGAGGCCGAAUGGAGGCAGAUAAAGGGCAGGUUUUACUCAAAGUUUCACCAACGUCGCAUGCAGGAUCUGACAGAAACUGGUUUGCAUAACCUGACUUGCCUUUUUCUUGUCCUAGCCUUGUGCGUGGAUCCAGAGGAAGUGGCUUUGAAACUGAGUAACCUCUAUGACAUGCUAGAUCCUGCGACAUGGCGUUUCAGCCUGAGGGUGCGAAUAUGGUGCGGGGCUUUGGCCAUGAUUGAGCAGCUGGUUAAAGCCAACCAUGACAUCAGUGUUCUGGCUGAGAAGAUGGCAUUCUCCUUUAAUACACUGUGCAGACAGCUCUCUGAGGGCAAGCUUGACUACACUCAGCGACAAGAAGCUUCAGGUCUGGUGGCCAUGUACCUGCAUGGUGUGCAAGCAAUUGUGGAUCACUCACACCUCAAGGGAGCUGAAUAUUUAUUUAUAGGUGAGGGGAUCAGGCUUACUUUAGAGAAUGGCAAUGAAAGUGAAGUUCGAAACAUGCUGACAACACUGGACACCAUAGCUGCACGGCUGAGGUAUGUCACAGAUCACUUGAGAGACGAACAAGCAAACGAGAGAGUCAGUCAUCAUCAACACCAGCAAGACUUAGCUGACAGGCUUUGGCAGUUUGUCUUUCCAUUUGUGUGUAACCAUGCCUGCACCUUGACCCCUCCCUUGUGCCUAGCUGACCUGGCAGUGACUUUGACACACCUUUCACAGACUUUUCCACCACCACUCUUCACAUGUCCUGAAGGAACUGUCAGCAUAUUCAAACAGUUUGCACUCGGUGAUACUGUGGCUGUCAGCAUUGUCUGUCACUACCUGGUGCAGGUGCUAGGAGAACCAGCUAUCCGUGAUUUUGUCCUUUCGUCAUCUCAGCAAUCAUCUGCCCCAUCAGCAGCAACACAAGCAUCAAGGAGUCUGCUGCAGAAGGAUGUGAUCAGAGCUUGGUUUCGCUGUGUCAUGUUGAUGUCAGAAACAUCGUCAUCAUUGCAAGAACUGACUCAGCAGGUCCUGCUGUUACCAGAGGUUAUUUCGCUGUCGGCAGCUAGUGACAUUGGUGCCCACAACCUGCUGCUUGGUUCAUGCCCAGCCACGUGGAGAACUUUCCUGAAAAGUGUAGGCCACUUCUUCAGAAAUGCCAAGGGUUUGCUAGAGAAAAGACAGGCCAGAGACCAAGUGUCUCCAUACUUCCAGGACGUGGCACAACACGCUGCACCAUUGCUGCGCACCCUGGCACCAGCCAGUACCCUGCUGCACAUGUUUCGUGUGGUAGGGCACUUAGUGAAGUACUGUGCACCUGCUCUUUACCUCCAGAGACAAGCCCCUCCACCCCAGCUACUCAGCUGCAGUGAAAGAGACGCUACAUUUGUUCAUUGAAGGUCUGGGAAAGAUGGAGCACAAUCGUCUGCCUGAUGUGCAGCGACACCUUCGUGAUAUCGUGACUAACUACCUCUUUCGUUUUCCUUUGACUCUGACAGAUUUAGACCUACACCCAGUCCUG
Molecule: unclassified non-coding RNA, 3132 nt
Filed under: Pomacea canaliculata
Lineage: Eukaryota; Metazoa; Mollusca; Gastropoda; Architaenioglossa; Ampullariidae
Description: protein MMS22-like, transcript variant X3
Source: RNAcentral